This 460-nucleotide ribosomal RNA is filed under the name uncultured bacterium. RNAcentral's name for it is "partial 16S ribosomal RNA". It matches the Rfam family "Bacterial small subunit ribosomal RNA", at positions 338 to 795 of the family's 1533-position model. The record is from RNAcentral.
CCUACGGGCGGCAGCAGUGAGGAAUAUUGGUCAAUGGCCGGAAGGCUGAACCAGCCAUGCCGCGUGAAGGUCAGUGCCCUAUGGGCGUUAAACUUCUUUUGUGCGGGAGCAAUAAUGGUCACGUGUGGCCAGACGAGAGUACCGUACGAAUAAGCAUCGGCUAACUCCGUGCCAGCAGCCGCGGUAAUACGGGGGAUGCAAGCGUUAUCCGGAUUUAUUUGGUUUAAAGGGUGCGUAGGCUGUGAGGUAAGUCAGCGGUGAAAUGCCCCCGCUCAACGGGGUGAAGUGCCAUUGAUACUGUCUGGCGGGAGUGGGGGUGAGGUGGGGGUAAUGGGUGGUGGAGCGGUGAAAUGAAUAGAUAUAAGACAGAACACGGAUUGAGAAGGCAUCUCAAGAAUCCGCGAUGGACGCUGAUGCAGGAAAGGGUGGGUAUAAAACAGGAUUAGAUACCCGAGUAGUC